This 497-nucleotide ribosomal RNA is filed under the name uncultured bacterium. Its description in RNAcentral is "partial 16S ribosomal RNA". It matches the Rfam family "Bacterial small subunit ribosomal RNA", at positions 28 to 507 of the family's 1533-position model. The record is from RNAcentral.
GAUGAACGCUGGCGGCGUGUCUAAUACAUGCAAGUCGAGCGAACAUACUAGGAUCUUUCUUCUGUGACGUUAGCGUCUGACGGGGGAGGAACACGUGGAUAACCUACCUUUAAGACUUGGAUAACUUCGGGAAACCUGAGCUAAUGCCGGAUAAUAUAUUGAACCGCAUGGUUCAAUAGUGAAAGACGGUUUUGCUGUCACUUAUAGAUGGAUCCGCGCCGCAUUAGCUAGUUGGGCAGGUAACGGCUUACCAAGGCAACGAUGCGUAGCCGCCCUGAGAGGGUGAUCGGCCACACUGGACCUGACACACGCUCCAGACUCCUACGGGAGGCAGCAGCAGGGACUCUUCCGGCAUGGGCGAAAGCCUGACGGAGCACCGCUGAGUGAGUCAUGAAGCUCUUCGAAUCCUAACACUCUGUUAUUAGCGAAGAACAACUGUGCACGUAACUCUGCACGUCUUGACGGUCACUAGUCAGAAAGCCACCGCCAACUACGUG